Molecule: long non-coding RNA, 3680 nt
Organism: Loxodonta africana (African savanna elephant)
Lineage: Eukaryota; Metazoa; Chordata; Mammalia; Proboscidea; Elephantidae
Exons: 9
Source: RefSeq, a predicted model, not a curated record
UUUCCUGCCGACGCAGCGUAGGAGCGACGGGCCUACGGGGGUUCCUGGUGGGGCAUGAUCUACAGUCUACAGUGUGGGUGUGAGAGCUGGACACUGGUCUCUUCCCCUCCCCCUAAGAGGCCACGACAGGGACACCCCGGAGCCCAGGUUCCAGGUGUGGCUCAGGGAGAGAUAGUCCAGCCUAGGCAGCAGGAGACCGAGGGCGACCACCUUGCACAUCCAUGGAAUCACGAGUAAGGAUUUCAACUGCUCUGACUGGCUGUGUGGACCAAACAUCAUUCAUCUGCCUCCAAACUGCCUAGUGGCUCUGCUUCCACUGCCAUCCCUCUUCCUGAGGCAGCUUCUUGGGCUUAGAGAGCACAUUCACUUAGACUUCCAGAAGCUGGAGCCAGGAAAUGGGCUCAGACCACCCACAUAAUUGAGGAUUAACAACCAGAAUAACAAGAAAACUAUAGAAAACAGAAAUCCUAACACCUGGGCCAUUAAGCAACAUCAUGAUAAACGGAGAGGAUAUUGAGAUUGUAGAGGAUUUCAUUUUACUUGGAUCUAUAAUCAACACCCAUGGAAGCAGCAGUCAAGAAAUCAAAAGACAUAUUGCAUCGGGCAAAUCAGCUGCAAAAGAUCUCUUUGAAGUGUGGAAAAGGAAGGAUGUCACUUUGAGGACUAAGGUGCGCCUGACUUAAGCCAUGGUUUUUUCAAUUGCCUCAUAUGCAUGCAAAAGCUGGACAGUGAAUAAGGAUGACCGAAGAAUUGAUGCCUUUGAAUUGUGCUGUUGGAGAAGAAUAUUGAAUAUACCAUGAACUGCCAAAAGAAUGAACAAAUCUGUCUUUGAAGAAGUACAAUCAGAAUGCUCCUUAGAAGCAAGGAUGCAGGUGGUCCUGUCAGGUCUUGAUGACUUGAAGUUCUUUAAGAAAAGCUCAGCGCCUUGGUUUUCCAGUUUGUUCAGGCCAUUGGGCCCUCCCAUGGCUGGUGAGGGGCCAGAAGAAAAACUUCCAGUCCUGCAGUGUUGCCCAGUUGUUAAUAUUUCAUCCUGCUUUCACCCUGUGCUUCAUGUUUUGUUAAAUAUCCUGGACUCAGUGACGGGUGAGGAUGUGGCUGUGGACUUUACCCAGGAAGAGUGGGCAUUGCUGGAUCUUUCUCAAAGGAAACUCUACAGAGAGGUGAUGAUGGAAACCUUCAGAAACCUGGCCUCAGUAGUUUCUCAAAACCCUAAUGAUGGAGAAAAGCGAUCCACUGAAAAUAUAAUAGUACGGUUCAUGAUAAAUGACAUCUGGUCCUCCAUGGUAAGAGAAAUCUACAAAUUGCAUGGCAUUGAAGAUCAGGAUAACAACCAGGAAACACAUGUGAGCAUGCUGCCUAUUUUUAACAGAAGGCAUGUGGUAAAGAACCUCUGUAAAAGUAAUGAAGACAGUCAGUAUGGACAAACCUUCAGCUGGAUUCCAGAUGUUUCUGUGCUCAAAAGAACUCUUAUUGAAGCAUAUCGUUCUGAAUGCCUCGAGUGUGGAAAAUCCAUGGUGGGUCAUUCAUCCCUUAAGCAUCAUAUCAGAUCUCACUCUGGAUGUAGUGCCUAUCAGUGUAAGGAAUGUGGAGAAGCCUGCAGUUGUCCCUCUUACCUCAGCACUUCUGUGAGAACUCUCACUGGAAAGAAACCCUAUGAAUGUAAGGAAUGUGGGAAAGCCUUUAGGUGGCCAUCACACCUUACUUCACAUGUAAGAUGUCACAGUGGAACGAGGCCUUAUGAAUGUAAGGAAUGUGGGAAAGCCUUUCAUACAUCCUCAAACCUCACUAUACAUAUGAAAAUUCACAGUGGAGAGAGGCCUUGUGAAUGUAAGGAAUGUGGGAAAACCUUCCGUCAGUCCUCAGGCCUCACUACACAUAUGAGAAUUCACAGUAGAGAGAGGCCUUUUAAAUGUAAGGAAUGUGGCAAAGCCUUUUGUCUUUCUUCACAUCUCACUAGACAUAUGAGAACUCACAGUGGAGAGAGGCCUUAUGAAUGUAAGGAAUGUGGGAAAGCCUUUUGCCAGUCCUCAUACCUCACUACACAUAUAAGAAGUCACAGUGGAGAGAGACCUUAUGAAUGCAAGGAAUGUGGCAAAUCCUUUAGUCAGUCCUCAAGCCUCGCUACACAUAUAAGAACUCAUAGUGGAGAGAGGCCUUAUAAAUGUAGGGAAUGCGGGAAAGCCUUUAGUCAGUUCUCAUACUUCACUAAACAUAUGAGUACUCACAGUGGAGAGAGGCCUUAUGAAUAUAAGGAAUGUGGCAAAGCCUUUAGUCACUCCUCAGACCUUACUGUACAUAUAAGAAGUCACAGUGAAGAGAGGCCUUAUGAAUAUAAAUAAGACAGAGGUCCCCAGCCUGUGGAAAAUUCCAGUGCCUCAAACAGCUUGCUUGACACACCCCGUAGUUUUACAUUAGCAUCCUGGUUCCCUUGCUUGACAUGCUCAGUAGCUUUACGUUAACAUCCUGGCUCCCCGUUACUGCUGCCCAGAACUAGAGGAAAUUGGCAGAAAUCCAUUUAGGCACGAUGUUGACAUUCUGAAUAACUUAUUAGCUCAAUAAAUACCUCAUACUUAGUAACUUCCCCGCCACUAGGUGGAAUUUAACUGCCAUUUUUGUGAACAUACAAUGCAUGAAGUUAUGUGUAAAAACCCUAUUGCACCUGCAUAAUAUGAUUAAGAAUGUUACUAAUGUAACUUGUAUGAACUUCCUGCUUGUAAACCCCAUGAAAGUAACCUUCCUCUCACCCUCACUGAGCAGUCUUGGCGGCAGCAGCCCUGACUGUUCCUUUUAUGGUCAAAUAAAAGCACCUUUCUGAUCUCCCACCUCAGUCUCAUUUAUUGGCUGAGAUGAUUCGCACCAAGUAAAACCUGGGGUUUCCACUCAGCAACAUAAGAAAUUUGGCAAAGCCUUUAGUUGGCCAACACACCUCACUACACAUAUAAGAACUCAUGAUGUAGAGAGAACUUAUGAAUGUAAGGAAUGUGGCAAAGCCUUUAGUUGGCUAUCACACCUCACUGUACACAUAAGAAGUCACAGUGGAGAGAGACCUUAUGAAUUUAAGGAGUGUGCCAAAGCCUUUAUUUGGUCCUCACACUUCACCAAACAUAAGCGCACUCACAGUGGAGACAGGUCUUAUGAAUGUAAGGAAUGUGGGAAAUCCUUUUAUGUGUCCUCAGAUUUCACUAUACACAUAAGAAUUCACAAUGCAGAGAGGCGUUAUGAAUGUAAGGAAUGUGGCAAAGCCUUUUGUCAGUGCUCACACCUCACUGCACAUGUGAGAACUCAAAGUGGUGAGAGGCCUUAAGUAAGGAAUGUGGGAAAGCCUUUAGUCAGUCUCCACUGCUUACUGAACAUAAAUAACCUCACAGUGGGAGAGACUGUGCAUGUAAGGAAAGUGGAAAAGCAUUUAGCUCUUCCUCACCUCUCACUGACAUAAGAAAUCACUCUGAGAAAAACAUUUUGAAUGUACGAAAUAUCGGAAAUACUUUUGUGAAUCCUCAAACCUGACUAACCAUAUAAAAACACUGGAGAGAGGUUUUAUAAAUGUAAGGAAUAUGGGAAAAUCUUCAGAUGUCCCUCAUCCUUUGGAACACAUCUAAGGAUACUGGAGAGAAACAAUACAUGUUUAAGUAAUGUUGGGUAGCUUUAAUCUCUCUCUCUCUUUCUUGUUUUGCUCUACC